RNAcentral lists this ribosomal RNA (254 nucleotides) under uncultured bacterium. RNAcentral describes it as "partial 16S ribosomal RNA". It matches the Rfam family "Bacterial small subunit ribosomal RNA", at positions 524 to 776 of the family's 1533-position model. The record is from RNAcentral.
GACAGAGGUGGCUAGCGUUGUUCGGAUUCAUUGGGUGUAAAGGGUGCGUAGGCGGUUUAGAAAGUCAGGUGUGAAAGCCCACAGCUCAACUGUGGAAUUGCAUUUGAAACUCCUAGACUCGAGUGCGAGAGAGGUGAAGGGAAUUCCCGGUGUAAGGGUGAAAUCUGGAGAGAUCGGGAGGAACACCAGUAGCGAAGGCGCGUCACUGGCUCGUAACUGACGCUGAGGGCACGAAGGCGUGGGGAGCAAACGGG